Molecule: ribosomal RNA, 253 nt
Filed under: uncultured bacterium
Lineage: Bacteria
Description: partial 16S ribosomal RNA
Rfam family: Bacterial small subunit ribosomal RNA
Source: RNAcentral
UACGUAGGGGGCUAGCGUUGUCCGGAAUCAUUGGGCGUAAAGCGCGCGUAGGCGGCCAGAUAAGUCCGGUGUGAAAGUCACAGGCUCAACCUGUGAAUGCCGCUGGAAACUGUCUGGCUAGAGUCCGGAAGGGGCGAGUGGAAUUCCUGGUGUAGCGGUGAAAUGCGCAGAUAUCAGGAGGAACACCGGUGGCGAAGGCGGGUCUCUGGGACGGUACUGACGCUGAGACGCGAAAGCGUGGGGAGCGAACAGG